Molecule: unclassified non-coding RNA, 331 nt
Filed under: soil metagenome
Description: partial contains 5.8S ribosomal RNA, internal transcribed spacer 2, and large subunit ribosomal RNA
Rfam family: 5.8S ribosomal RNA (bases 1-120)
Source: RNAcentral
GAUGAAGAACGUAGUGAAAUGCGAUAAGUAAUGUGAAUUGCAGAAUUCAGUGAAUCAUCGAAUCUUUGAACGCACAUUGCGCCCCCUGGUAUUCCGGGGGGCAUGCCUGUUCGAGCGUCAUUUCACCACUCAAGCCUCGCUUGGUAUUGGGCGACGCGGUCCGCCGCGCGCCUCAAAUCGACCGGCUGGGUCUUCCGUCCCCUCAGCGUUGUGGAAACUAUUCGCUAAAGGGUGCCGCGGGAGGUCACGCCGCAAAACAACCCCAUUUCUAAGGUUGACCUCGGAUCAGGUAGGGAUACCCGCUGAACUUAAGCAUAUCAAUAAGCGAGGA